This 424-nucleotide ribosomal RNA is filed under the name uncultured microorganism. Its description in RNAcentral is "bacterial SSU rRNA". It matches the Rfam family "Bacterial small subunit ribosomal RNA", at positions 9 to 430 of the family's 1533-position model. The record is from RNAcentral.
GAGUUUGAUCGUGGCUCAGAUUGAACGCUGGCGGCAUGCCUUACACAUGCAAGUCGAACGGCAGCAUGAUCUAGCUUGCUAGAUUGAUGGCGAGUGGCGAACGGGUGAGUAAUACAUCGGAACGUGCCCUGUAGUGGGGGAUAACUAGUCGAAAGAUUAGCUAAUACCGCAUACGACCUGAGGGUGAAAAGUGGGGGACCGCAAGGCCUCAUGCUAUAGGAGCGGCCGAUGUCUGAUUAGCUAGUUGGUGGGUAAAGGCCCACCAAGGCGACGAUCAGUAGCUGGUCUGAGAGGACGAUCAGCCACACCUGGGACUGAGACACGGCCCAGACUCCUACCGGGAGGCAGCAGUGGGGAAUUUUGGACAAUGGGCGAAAGCCUGAUCCAGCAAUGCCGCGUGUGUGAAGAAGGCCUGGUUGUAAGG